UCUGGUGGCAAUGGCGGAGGGGUCACACCCGUUCCCAUCCCGAACACGGAAGUUAAGCCCUCCUGCGCCG
Molecule: ribosomal RNA, 70 nt
Filed under: Heliobacterium chlorum
Lineage: Bacteria; Bacillati; Bacillota; Clostridia; Eubacteriales; Heliobacteriaceae
Source: RNAcentral